AGAGUUUGAUCCUGGCUCAGGAUGAACGCUGGCGGCGUGCCUAAUACAUGCAAGUCGAGCGAACGGACGAGAAGCUUGCUUCUCUGAUGUUAGCGGCGGACGGGUGAGUAACACGUGGAUAACCUACCUAUAAGACUGGGAUAACUUCGGGAAACCGGAGCUAAUACCGGAUAAUAUUUUGAACCGCAUGGUUCAAAAGUGAAAGACGGUCUUGCUGUCACUUAUAGAUGGAUCCGCGCUGCAUUAGCUAGUUGGUAAGGUAACGGCUUACCAAGGCAACGAUGCAUAGCCGACCUGAGAGGGUGAUCGGCCACACUGGAACUGAGACACGGUCCAGACUCCUACGGGAGGCAGCAGUAGGGAAUCUUCCGCAAUGGGCGAAAGCCUGACGGAGCAACGCCGCGUGAGUGAUGAAGGUCUUCGGAUCGUAAAACUCUGUUAUUAGGGAAGAACAUAUGUGUAAGUAACUGUGCACAUCUUGACGGUACCUAAUCAGAAAGCCACGGCUAACUACGUGCCAGCAGCCGCGGUAAUACGUAGGUGGCAAGCGUUAUCCGGAAUUAUUGGGCGUAAAGCGCGCGUAGGCGGUUUUUUAAGUCUGAUGUGAAAGCCCACGGCUCAACCGUGGAGGGUCAUUGGAAACUGGAAAACUUGAGUGCAGAAGAGGAAAGUGGAAUUCCAUGUGUAGCGGUGAAAUGCGCAGAGAUAUGGAGGAACACCAGUGGCGAAGGCGACUUUCUGGUCUGUAACUGACGCUGAUGUGCGAAAGCGUGGGGAUCAAACAGGAUUAGAUACCCUGGUAGUCCACGCCGUAAACGAUGAGUGCUAAGUGUUAGGGGGUUUCCGCCCCUUAGUGCUGCAGCUAACGCAUUAAGCACUCCGCCUGGGGAGUACGACCGCAAGGUUGAAACUCAAAGGAAUUGACGGGGACCCGCACAAGCGGUGGAGCAUGUGGUUUAAUUCGAAGCAACGCGAAGAACCUUACCAAAUCUUGACAUCCUUUGACAACUCUAGAGAUAGAGCNNNNNNNNNNNNNNUUCCCCUUCGGGGGACAAAGUGACAGGUGGUGCAUGGUUGUCGUCAGCUCGUGUCGUGAGAUGUUGGGUUAAGUCCCGCAACGAGCGCAACCCUUAAGCUUAGUUGCCAUCAUUAAGUUGGGCACUCUAAGUUGACUGCCGGUGACAAACCGGAGGAAGGUGGGGAUGACGUCAAAUCAUCAUGCCCCUUAUGAUUUGGGCUACACACGUGCUACAAUGGACAAUACAAAGGGCAGCGAAACCGCGAGGUCAAGCAAAUCCCAUAAAGUUGUUCUCAGUUCGGAUUGUAGUCUGCAACUCGACUACAUGAAGCUGGAAUCGCUAGUAAUCGUAGAUCAGCAUGCUACGGUGAAUACGUUCCCGGGUCUUGUACACACCGCCCGUCACACCACGAGAGUUUGUAACACCCGAAGCCGGUGGAGUAACCUUUUAGGAGCUAGCCGUCGAAGGUGGGACAAAUGAUUGGGGUGAAGUCGUAACAAGGUAGCCGUAUCGGAAGGUGCGGCUGGAUCACCU
Molecule: ribosomal RNA, 1553 nt
Filed under: Staphylococcus aureus
Lineage: Bacteria; Bacillati; Bacillota; Bacilli; Caryophanales; Staphylococcaceae
Description: 16S ribosomal RNA
Rfam family: Bacterial small subunit ribosomal RNA
Source: RNAcentral